GACGAACGCUGGCGGCGUGCCUAAUACAUGCAAGUAGAACGCACAGUGUAUGCCGUUGCUUGCCACACCACAGACUGUCAGACGCGAACGGGUCAGUAACGCGUCCGUAACCUGCCUGGUAGCGGGCGAUAACUAUCGGAAACGAUAGCUACUACCGCAUAAUAUUCAUUAUUGCAUGAUAAUUGAUGGAAAGAUCCUAUUGCAUCACUACCAGAUGGGCCUGCGUUGUAUUAGCUAGUAGGGGGGGUAACGGCACACCUAGGCGACGCUACAUAGCCGACCUGAGAGGGUGAUCGGCCACACUGGGACUGAGACACGGCCCAGACUCCUACGGGAGGCAGCAGUAGGGAAUCUUCGGCAAUGGACGAAAGUCUGACCGAGCAACGCCGCGUGAGUGAAGAAGGUUUUCGGGUCGUAAAGCUCUGUUGUACGGGAAGAAAGGGUGUGAGGGUGGAAAGGUCACACUGUGACGGUAUCUUACCAGAAAGGGACGGCUAACUACGUG
Molecule: ribosomal RNA, 505 nt
Filed under: uncultured bacterium
Lineage: Bacteria
Description: partial 16S ribosomal RNA
Rfam family: Bacterial small subunit ribosomal RNA
Source: RNAcentral